AUUGAACGCUGGCGGCAGGCCUAACACAUGCAAGUCGAGCGGAUGAAGGGAGCUUGCUCCUGGAUUCAGCGGCGGACGGGUGAGUAAUGCCUAGGAAUCUGCCUGGUAGUGGGGGAUAACGUCCGGAAACGGGCGCUAAUACCGCAUACGUCCUGAGGGAGAAAGUGGGGGAUCUUCGGACCUCACGCUAUCAGAUGAGCCUAGGUCGGAUUAGCUAGUUGGUGGGGUAAAGGCCUACCAAGGCGACGAUCCGUAACUGGUCUGAGAGGAUGAUCAGUCACACUGGAACUGAGACACGGUCCAGACUCCUACGGGAGGCAGCAGUGGGGAAUAUUGGACAAUGGGCGAAAGCCUGAUACAGCCAUGCCGCGUGUGUGAAGAAGGUCUUCGGAUUGUAAAGCACUUUAAGUUGGGAGGAAGGGCAGUAAGUUACUACCUUGCUGUUUUGACGUUACCAACAGAAUAAGCACCGGCUAACUUCGUG
Molecule: ribosomal RNA, 484 nt
Filed under: uncultured bacterium
Lineage: Bacteria
Description: partial 16S ribosomal RNA
Rfam family: Bacterial small subunit ribosomal RNA
Source: RNAcentral